RNAcentral lists this unclassified non-coding RNA (278 nucleotides) under air metagenome. RNAcentral describes it as "partial contains small subunit ribosomal RNA, internal transcribed spacer 1, and 5.8S ribosomal RNA". The stretch from base 1 to 46 matches the Rfam family "Eukaryotic small subunit ribosomal RNA", at positions 1786 to 1831 of the family's 1831-position model. The record is from RNAcentral.
AAGUCGUAACAAGGUUUCCGUAGGUGAACCUGCGGAAGGAUCAUUAUCGAGUUUAGAGGCGCGUCCUUUUGAGCUGGCAUGCAGGUGCUUGGAGGCGCGUCUUCUCAUCCACUCAACCCCUGUGCACCUUGAAGCGAUUGUCUGGAGGGUCUGUUAUGCGGACUCGAAGGGCGAUUUGCUUUCAUUAUAAACACUUAUUCUUGUCUUGUCAUGCGCAUAUAGCCUCUCGUUAGGCAUUAAUGUAAAUACAACUUUCAACAACGGAUCUCUUGGCUCUC